Molecule: ribosomal RNA, 245 nt
Filed under: uncultured Actinomycetes bacterium
Lineage: Bacteria; Bacillati; Actinomycetota; Actinomycetes
Description: uncultured actinobacterium partial 16S ribosomal RNA
Rfam family: Bacterial small subunit ribosomal RNA
Source: RNAcentral
CACGCCGUAAACGUUGGGCACUAGGUGUGGGGUCUUAUCAACGGAUUCCGUGCCGCAGCUAACGCAUUAAGUGCCCCGCCUGGGGAGUACGGCCGCAAGGCUAAAACUCAAAGGAAUUGACGGGGGCCCGCACAAGCGGCGGAGCAUGUUGCUUAAUUCGAGGCAACGCGAAGAACCUUACCUGGGCUUGACAUGUACCGAAAAGCCGUAGAGAUGCGGUGUCCUUCGGGGCGGUACACAGGUGG